GGACCUGGGGAAUCCGACUUUAUAAUUAAAACAAAAGCAUGGGGAUGGCCCUAGCGGGUGUUGACACAAUGUGAUUUCUGCCCAGUGCUCUGAUGUCAAAGUGAAGAAAUUCAAGUAAGCGCGGGUCAACGGCGGGAGUAACUAUGACUCUCUCUUUCAUUGACAGGGCAGAGCUCGAGGGAAAGGAAACCACUCUC
Molecule: non-coding RNA, 197 nt
Filed under: Drosophila simulans
Lineage: Eukaryota; Metazoa; Arthropoda; Insecta; Diptera; Drosophilidae
Description: Eukaryotic large subunit ribosomal RNA
Rfam family: Eukaryotic large subunit ribosomal RNA
Source: Rfam by way of RNAcentral